This is a long non-coding RNA of Pezoporus occidentalis (night parrot), 570 nucleotides long. RefSeq lists it as uncharacterized. The transcript has 4 exons. The record is from RefSeq and is a predicted model, not a curated record. Lineage: Eukaryota; Metazoa; Chordata; Aves; Psittaciformes; Psittacidae.
GGCACGGCGGCAAUCCUUCAGCCGCCCGCCUAGGGGCCUCUCCGAUCCACUACAGCCGCAGGGACACCUCACGGAGAGAGGCCGGCGGCCACGCAGACCCCCGCGGACACAGAAAUGACAUGAGACAAUUUUGUUGUCAUUUGCAAAGUUGUCAGCAAGGAGUUUAUGUUUUUUCCAAAUCACUGAUAAAGACAUCAGUGAUCUGGAAGCCUUUAAAACCGUUAAAUAAGCCAUUGGAAGAGAGUAGACACAUGCUGAUGUAGCUGCUAAUUGGUUCACACAGCACUUGAUACAGGGACGGAUACGCUAAAAAGAUCACUCUUUAGGCAACUGUCACAUUCUAAGUUCAUUUUCCAAGUCUGGCACGUUAUCUUCAGCAAAUCUUGGGAGGCUUAAUCUGGAUAACUUUGAUGGACGGCAAUACAAGGAACUGCAUCAUUACAUUAUUACCUGAAUAUGCUGGAUGAAUUCAUCCUUACAUGCAAGCAGAAGAUAUUCACUGAUGGGAUGACCAUAGCAAUGUCUAUCGAUUACCUGACUACUUUUCUAGAAACUAGAACUGCAGAGUUU